CAGCCGCCACGGUAAUACCGGCGGCCCGAGUGGCGGCCACUAUUAUUGGGCUUAAAGCGUCCGUAGCCGGGUUGGGAAGUCCUCCGGGAAAUCUGGCCGCUUAACGGUCAGAAUGCCGGAGGAUACUCCCAGCCUAGGGAGCGGGAGAGGCCGAGGGUAUUCCCGGAGUAGGGGUGAAAUCCUAUAAUCCCGGGAGGACCACCUGUGGCGAAGGCGCUCGGCUGGAACGGGUCCGACGGUGAGGGACGAAGGCCAGGGGAGCAAACCGGAUUAGAUACCCGGGUAGUCCUGGCUGUAAACGAUGCGGACUUUGUGUCGGACAAGCUAUGAGCUUGUCCGGUGCCGGAGGGAAACCGUUAAGUCCGCCGCCUGGGGAGUACGGCCGCAAGGCUGAAACUUAAAGGAAUUGGCGGG
RNAcentral lists this ribosomal RNA (414 nucleotides) under uncultured microorganism. Its description in RNAcentral is "bacterial SSU rRNA". It matches the Rfam family "Archaeal small subunit ribosomal RNA", at positions 459 to 872 of the family's 1478-position model. The record is from RNAcentral.